UAAAACGUAGGAGGCGAGCGUUAUCCGGAUUUACUGGGUGUAAAGCGCGUGCAGGCGGUUCGGUAAGUUGGGUGUGAAAGCUCCUGGCUCAACUGGGAGAGGUCGCUCAAAACUGGCGAACUGGAGAGUGGUAGGGGAAGGUGGAAUUCCGGGUGUAGUGGUGAAAUGCGUAGAUAUCCGGAGGAACACCAGUGGCGAAAGCGGCCUUCUGGACCAUUUCUGACGCUCAGACGCGAAAGCUAGGGUAGCAAACGGGAUUAGAGACCCCGGUAGUCCUAGCCGUAAACGAUGUGAACUUGGCGCUGGAUGGGUAAAACCGAUCAGUGCCGCAGCAAACGCGAUAAGUUCACCACCUGGGGACUACGGCCGCAAGGUUA
This 377-nucleotide ribosomal RNA is filed under the name uncultured bacterium. RNAcentral describes it as "bacterial SSU rRNA". It matches the Rfam family "Bacterial small subunit ribosomal RNA", at positions 521 to 896 of the family's 1533-position model. The record is from RNAcentral.